Gadus macrocephalus (Pacific cod) is the source of this 5686-nucleotide RNA transcript. It is a transcript of the gene named V-set domain-containing T-cell activation inhibitor 1-like, with no coding region annotated. The transcript is spliced from 7 exons. The record is from RefSeq and is a predicted model, not a curated record. Lineage: Eukaryota; Metazoa; Chordata; Actinopteri; Gadiformes; Gadidae.
CAGCCUCCUGCUGUAUGUGACCUCAUCAGCCCAGAGUGAAGGGACGUACAGGUGUACUCUCAGGUACGCAGACGAAGAAGACGUAACCCACAUUGAACUGAAGAUACUGGAGGACCCUAAUGAAGAGGGAUCUUCUAGCACAGUUGGGAUCAUUUUAGGAGUCGUGGAUCCCGUUAUCAUUUUAAUCAUCGCCAUCAACAGUUUAUACAUCAUAUAACCGAUAAAGGCCAAAGAAGGACGAGGAAGGAGCUCAAACCACCAAAGUACUGAACCCUCUCCUCAGGAAGUCGUUCCUCUGUCUGAGAUAAAGGGUUCAACCUCCUGACCUUAUUACCGCACCAUCAGACACAGCAGGGUAAGACCGUGGUCGCAGGAGCCAGGAUCCUUGUUUACGUUGUAAUUUAGGGGUGUAACAGUAGAAUGGGGGGGGGGGGGGGUGCUUUGUAGGAGGGACUGACCAGCUUCAGGAGUGAGGCUGAGGUGUGUAAAAGGUGAGUAGGUGUGGUCUGUAGGGGCUGAUUCUGACCUCUGAGUCCUCUGCUGGGAUUAGAGUCUGCCGCUAUGUUGCCCGGUGUCUUCAUCCGAGAUGGACUGGGAGGAUAUUUUUAUUCUGCAACAGAGAAAGACUUUGAAAAGGUCAAACAGACAAUGUGAUGGGUACAACCGAGGCAACCUCAGCACUACAACAACAACAACAUGGACGACCUUGGUGACCCACCACAGAGCACACGUCCAAGAGCAAAGAAACAUGUAUCUGGAUUAAUGGGAAUGAAACGUUUGAAAAGCGUUGACAUUUGUCAUCCUUAUGAUCCCACUAUUUUCUUUUACUUUGACAUUUAUUAGAAGUCGUGAAACUUAAAUUCAUCUUUAAGGCAAUGAAUGGAUGAGUUGUAAGAUGCGUCCAUUAUCUUACUGUACCGUCAGUGGAAUUGUCUUCUACACAGAUUUAAAAGAAAACCAUCUCCAACGGAUUACACCAAUUGUUAUGUAUUAAUAUUGAUCAUUUUAUUUGUAUUAGGCCUAUAAAGUUGUAAUCAGCCAUUUUCAAAGACUUUUUGAAAAACGAUGUACUGUAUAUUCUGGCAACCCGCCUUCUCCAGUGAACCGCCUCCUCCCCAAACCGGACACAACUUUACUGGGCAAAAAGGCCUGUUUAAUCCAAAAUCAAAAAAGUCUCAUACUGAAAAUAACACAACGAGAAACCUGGGAGGAAUCGACGGUCCUAUCCCACGAGAACCUGUCUCUCCUUGCCCGAGCCACAUGGCUGAGAGAGCCCUGAUUGAGUGGAGAAGCAGGCUAUUCAAGCCCUGUUUCUCCACCUGUUCCUCAGGUGCUCUGCAUUUAGUUAAUUGGCCCCCGCUCCAACGCCCUCAAUGGCGCCAUCUGGGGGUAGACUGCUUCCAGGGGUGCUGGGCCGGAUCCGGGUUGCCACACUCCUCCACCCUUUGAUGAAGCUUCGGGGCCUCGUGUUGGAGCGGCGGUCCUGCCUGAAGCGGAGCUGCUCCUGCUGCUGGCGUCGCCCGCUGCGUCGUCUCCGGCUGUGUCGAGGCUGCUUUGGAGGCUGGCGUUCACUCAAAAAAUGGUCCGUAGCUUGGUCGAGUCCUCGGUCGAUUCUCCACCAUAUGUGGCGACCCGGCCCCAGGAAUGUCUCUACCACUCAGGAAAUCAACAUUCGCGUUGUAGUAGCAGAGAAUGGGCUGCGGGGCAGUAUGUACAUUGUUAAAUACAUGAAUAGGCUUGAAUUUAGUGGUAAUAUGGAGGUUUCAUAUUUUUACAAAAUGGAUUAUGUGAACAUUGCUGAAUAACAAUCAUGUAUAUUAAAUGUAUUGCAGGAGUUUAGCUUGACACUAACCAAGUGAAAGGACAAUUAAAUGAACCGCACCAAACAUGUGGAAGUCAAUGUGGGAUUUUAAUAUAUGAAAACAAAAACACUUGACAGAAAUGUAUUACAAUUUUAUAAAGGAAAGCAGAGGAAAACAUUUUCCAAAUUAAUCUUUUCGAAAUGUCACCUCCAUUCCGAAAGCAAGUGAAGAGGUUUGUGUAAAAGCAGUCCUCCCUGAACAGCUCUGUCCCUGACUCUAAACCCUGACUCUCAACCCUAACGCUAAACCCUCUGAGGGCAGGAAGACGCGCCUUCAGUGUAAAGGUUUGAACCACAGAGAAGGAAGAAAAGAGGAAGCAGUAGAGAGUAGUGAGGUUAGUGACAGACGUGAGGGAAAGGCGUGUGGAAGCACACGGUUAUGUGUGGGGUCAAGAAGAUCACUCCCACUGGAGGUCAGUGAUCCAUCAGCCUCAGACUGCUGAGCUCAGCAGGUCUUCUGGAGGACAAGGCUCAGAUGAACUGAGGAGACGGGACCAGCAGGAUGUCAGGAUCAGGGCGGGUUUAGCUCAGGUGUGUCUACCCCCGACCAAACAGGAUCAGGUGAGGUUCAGCUCAGGUGCGUCUGCCCGGACCAAACAAGGACAUUGAUUAGGUUCAUUAUUCAAAAGAUGCAACAUUAUCUGAACCAAAGAUAAGUCAUUAAGGAGCAGGCAGGCUUUAGGGCGCCUUGCUCAAGGACACAUCACUGUAUUCUGAGGACUUGAAUCCGGCACCAUUGGUUUGAGAGUUGAAACCCCAACCCCCUACCUAGUCCACCAUGUCCAGAUAAUGCAAACUUAUGAGGAAUCCUUGAUGGUAGAGUGCUGGUGAUCCUCAGGAUUUUCCUUCCAGAUGUACGGCUUCUCCAUCAGUCCUCCAGAUUCCUGGUCUGGUUAGAAACGCAAUUUGUCUCUGAUGUAAGGUAACAAACACGGUAGUACUUCGUCUCUAAUGCAAGGAAACAAACACCGUAGUAGUUUGUCUCUAAUGUAAGGUCACAAACACAGGAGUAGUUGGGCUCUAAUGUAAUGUAACAAACACAGGAGUAGUUGGGCUCUAAUAUCAGGUAACAAACACAGGAGUAGAUGGGCUCUAAUGCAAGGAAACAAACACAGGAGUAGUUUGUCUCUAAUGUAAGGUCACAAACACAGGAGUAGUUGGGCUCUAAUAUCAGGUAACAAACACAGUAGUAGAUGGGCUCUAAUGCAAGGUAACAAACACCGUAGUAGUUUGUCUCUAAUGUAAGGUCACAAACACAGGAGUAGUUGGGCUCUGAUGGCGCGUAACAAAGUAGCAGCUGUAGUUUGUCUGGUAAACAACCACAAUAGUAUGCCGGAACUUGUACUGGACAAACUAAUCCUGCGUUACAACAAGUCCACUGUUUAUUUUAGGCAAACUUACGAGGAUCCUGGUUGGUGGAGCGAUGUCGUCCUCCAGAGUCUUGGCUCCUCCAUCAGCUCUCCACAGCCAGAGUCGUGGUCUGGAACAAACGGAGCGAGUCUGGCCCCAAAGUCUGGUAACGAACAUGUAGUUGGUCUUAUUUUUAAGCCCUUUAUUUCCAGUUUGUUUGGUUAAUACAAACUUACAAUCCUUGUUGGUAGAGUGAUGUUCAUCCUCCAGAUUCACGGCUCCCCUACCAGCUCGCCUCCGCUCCAGGAACACGUUCUAGUAAGAAAACACAGCGGUAGUUGGUUAACGCAUAACAGCUGUAUUUUGCCCUUUGAGUCAACCAUGUAACUAAAAACAAACUUACGAGGAAUCCUUGUUGGUCGAUUCCUAGUCGUCCUCCAGCGUCUCAGCUCCUCCAGCAGCUCUCCUCAGACAGAGUACUAGUCUGGAAAAAACAGCGGAAGUCUUGCUUCAACAUGUGGUAAAACAGAUGUAGUCGUCUGGUAUAUAUGGUACAAACGCCGGUAGUUUGUGGUAGCAGUGAGUGUGAUGAUCACUUCCGAGUCAAGCUCCAUCUACCCCAUGACAGACGUCCUUCACCAGGCAGGUCCUUCACCAGGCAGGGCCUCCACAAGGCAGGGCCUUCAGCACGACUCCUCCAACAGCUCCUUCAGCACGGGUCCUCCAUCAGCUCGGCUCCUCCAUCAGCUCCUUCAGCACGGCUCCUCCAGACAUGGAUUCCUGGUCUGGUUACAAACCCAGUUCAUCUCAGCAGUAAAUCACCUGGGGACGCAACACACCCCACCUCCUGCAUCUGAGUGUUUCAGAUGAGCUUGGUGAUGGUUACCCUCUGGUCCGGUGCUGUGGGCCCCUGGUCUCCAGCCUCAGUCUCCGGUCCACCCUGGCACCACAAGCCUCUGGUCCCCAGCCUCUCAGCCUCGCCGUUCAGCUACAGCAGCAGCAUGACAUAACACAUCUCAGGAAGUGGUGGCGCUCCACUGUGUUGGAGAAUCUCCAUACUGAAGGUCAUUGCAGACGGUUUGCUCAUUUCAUGGAGGAGGGCAGAGACAUGGCAAGAGGAACUCUACCACCUAUCUUCGGUAUCCCGAGGAAGCGCUAAGUGUCCGAAAUGGAGGAGACAUAAUAUUUGUCUUUUCUUUGUUUCUUUAUUUUUUUAUUGGUUUGUUUGAAGAGAAGAGCAGAAAAUAAAAUUGAUAAUAAUGGAUACCAAUUCCAAGAAAAACAUUAUUUGAAACGAAAUGAAAUCAUAUAUUGAUGGUUAUUAAGCACACAAUAUACACUGCAAGAAAAUAAAAAUGCAGACGUUUUUUGUAAAGCAAACAAUUUCUGUUCCCUCUUUCUUCAUUUGUCACGUGAAGUUGUUCCCCAUUUUGUUAUACUUUUCCAUCAUUGCCAGUACGUAUUUUUUUUUAUUAGAUCAAUAUUAAUUUAAACAAAAAUAAAUAAAUAUAAAGAGAAAAGUCGACUCUCUCUAACUUUCAAUUCAAUCUAAGUAUUACAAGAAACAUUUUAAUAACUCGUAUUUUAAAUGACCAAAGUCAAUCAAACAUCCGUGGUGUAAAAUGCAACAUUGUGUUUUUACACUUGGGGGAGUAAGGAAAGGGUGUCCGUUGUCUUCUUUACUAAACCAUGUUCAUUGGGCCAGUAACUGAUAAGCCAUCUUCAAAAAAAUGUAGGUCAUGUUUAUUGUGAAGGAAUUAGGAUGUGUCUUGCUGUCAUUGUUAUUAUUCUCAUCCUUAUUAGAGAAAGAAUAAUAAAUAUUUUCUCUUUCUGUUCCAGAGAGAUUAUCUUCUAGCCCACUUUGGAGCAUUUGGAUCACAUUAGGAGUCCUAGGGGUUCUAAUUAUCAUUUUAAUCAUCACCAUAUUACUUUUUUAAACCUCCUGACUGUAUGACCGGUACCAUCAGACACAGCAGGGUCAGACUGGGUCGUACGGGCCAGGAUUCAACGUUCACAUGUCAUUUAUGUUUCUUUAUUAGGCCGGGCUAUUUCCUCUAUUAUCUCUUUGUUAAAUCAUUAAUCUUGUUGGGUUGGAUUCUUCUCUUGUUUUUUCCUUCCUCAUACUGUUUCACCUUUUACCGGAAGGUGUUCAGAAAGGUACCAAAGCAAGGUGGUGCACACCCACACCCACACCCACACACACUUUGUGUCUCCUUCGCGUUAUUCUUGUUGGCCAGAAGGUGAACUACAUCGAGGUGGAUUCACUGCCCCCUAGUGGCUCCACAUGCAACAAGUAACAACACAUGGCUUUGAUUAACAGACAGAUGCGCAUUAUUUCAACACUACUUACAGUGAAUACUGAUAUGAGAUCAAGGAGCAGGUAGGGGAUAGACAGUGAGUACUGAUAUAUGUGAUUAAGGAGCAGGUAGGGGAUAGACAGUGAAUACUGAUGUGAUUAAGGAGCAGGUAGGGGAU